This 417-nucleotide ribosomal RNA is filed under the name uncultured bacterium. RNAcentral describes it as "bacterial SSU rRNA". It matches the Rfam family "Archaeal small subunit ribosomal RNA", at positions 455 to 871 of the family's 1478-position model. The record is from RNAcentral.
GUGUCAGCAGCCGCGGUAACACCGGCAGCUCGAGGGGGAGAGGAGUGUAUUGGGCCUAAAGCGUCCGUAGCCGGUCCGAUAAGUCUCUGGUGAAAGCCCACAGCUUAACUGUGGGAAUCGCUGGAGAUACUAUCGGACUUGAGGCCGGGAGAGGCUGGAGGUACUCCCAGGGUAGGGGUGAAAUCCUAUAAUCCUGGGAGGACCACCUGUGGCGAAGGCGUCCAGCUGGAACGGACCUGACGGUGAGGGACGAAAGCCAGGGGCGCGAACCGGAUUAGAUACCCGGGUAGUCCUGGCCGUAAACGAUGCGGACUUGGUGUUGGGACGGCUUUGAGCUGUCUCAGUGCCGAAGGGAAGCUGUUAAGUCCGCCGCCUGGGAAGUACGGCCGCAAGGCUGAAACUCAAAGGAACCGACGG